UGGCGUCACCUCCGUAACUGCGGCUGGAUCACCUCCUUUUAAAGAAUAGGGUCUAGACCCCACACACGCCACUCGGUAAGGAAUUGGGCCUAUAGCUCAGCUGGCUAGAGCACACGACUGAUAAUCGUGAGGUCAGUGGUUCGAGUCCACUUGGGCCCACCAAAUGGGGCUGUAGCUCAGUUGGGAGAGCACCUGCUUUGCAAGCAGGGGGUCACCGGUUCGAGACCGGUCAGCUCCACCACAGGGAUGGAAGGCCCGCAAAGAGCGCGGGCUGGUCGCUGGGGAAGCGGUAUGGAAGUGAUUUGGGAUUGGAUUUUUUAGUGUGUAGUGCUGAAUGACGCUUUACGGAUGUAGGAAGUUAAAAGGCGCUAUUGAUCACUGCCCACUCGGAAGAUUUGAGUGCGUUAGUUUGUUCUUUGACAGUUGAGGAAGGGAAGGCCAUGUUUGCCAUCUUGCCGAUGGCGGACCUCCAGGUGGAUGCUUGGGGAUAUAUGGUCAAGUGAAUAAGGGCAUACGGUGGAUGCCUUGGCAGAGACAGGCGACGAAGGACGUGGAUACCUGCGAAAAGCCUCGGGGAGCUGGUAAUCAAGCUUUGAUCCGGGGAUAUCCGAGAGAACCCCCCAAAAACAAAAA
This 633-nucleotide unclassified non-coding RNA is filed under the name Acidithiobacillus ferrooxidans. RNAcentral describes it as "partial contains 16S ribosomal RNA, 16S-23S ribosomal RNA intergenic spacer, and 23S ribosomal RNA". The stretch from base 494 to 633 matches the Rfam family "Bacterial large subunit ribosomal RNA", at positions 1 to 143 of the family's 2925-position model. The record is from RNAcentral. Lineage: Bacteria; Pseudomonadati; Pseudomonadota; Acidithiobacillia; Acidithiobacillales; Acidithiobacillaceae.